GGGCGCAUAGCUCAGCCGGUUAGAGCGCUACACUCACAUUGUAGAGGUCGAGGGUUCAAUUCCUUCUGCGCCCA
RNAcentral lists this transfer RNA (74 nucleotides) under Pseudomonadota bacterium. RNAcentral describes it as "tRNA-Val". It matches the Rfam family "tRNA". Rfam says of the family: Transfer RNA (tRNA) molecules are approximately 80 nucleotides in length. Their secondary structure includes four short double-helical elements and three loops (D, anti-codon, and T loops). Further hydrogen bonds mediate the characteristic L-shaped molecular structure. tRNAs have two regions of fundamental functional importance: the anti-codon, which is responsible for specific mRNA codon recognition, and the 3' end, to which the tRNAs corresponding amino acid is attached (by aminoacyl-tRNA synthetases). tRNAs cope with the degeneracy of the genetic code in two manners: having more than one tRNA (with a specific anti-codon) for a particular amino acid; and 'wobble' base-pairing, i.e. permitting non-standard base-pairing at the 3rd anti-codon position. The record is from RNAcentral. Lineage: Bacteria; Pseudomonadati; Pseudomonadota. RNAcentral also lists the same sequence under 1 other name.